GUCCCUUCGGGGACAUCUGAUAAAAUUAGAACGACACGAAGAACAUUAGCAUGUCCCCUACCCAACGAUAACACACAUAAAUCAAGCAUAAGAGAGAAUUGAG
Small nuclear RNA from Salvia splendens (bonfire salvia), 103 nucleotides. NCBI's taxonomy places the organism in Eukaryota, Viridiplantae, Streptophyta, Magnoliopsida, Lamiales, Lamiaceae. The record is from RefSeq and is a predicted model, not a curated record.